Molecule: long non-coding RNA, 1712 nt
Organism: Canis lupus familiaris (dog)
Lineage: Eukaryota; Metazoa; Chordata; Mammalia; Carnivora; Canidae
Exons: 5
Source: RefSeq, a predicted model, not a curated record
UGGAGAUGAUAGCUUUAUCAGCAACUCUGCUUUGCAAUGACUUCACAGCAAGGUUACCAGGAAGCAGAUGGGCUGUGAAGGAGACAAACCUUCUUGUCUAAACACAAAUAGCAUUGAUAAUUAAUUAGCUGAAGCAGCAGGGGAAAUUAUGAAAAUGUGUGAAAGGUAAAGAAAGCAGGACACAGCCCUCAGUGUAGGACUCUGGUCCCUUUCACCAUCUUAUCUGAAACAUCCUGUGUCUCUGCCUUCUUGGUAGAAGGCAUCAAGGGGGAGAUGAUGUAUAAUUACUUGUCUGGUAGGGUUUUAAAUUAUGUGAAUAACUGUCUAUCUGCAAGAAGAAUGUAGCCAUCUAUUCUUUCCUCAGUUGGUAGGCGAUAAGAACUUUGGGAAGUGAGAACCUUGAGAUGGUUAAAAUGAAUGACCUAGAGAUCAAAUGAUUUAUGUUCAUUAUCUGAUUUUCUCUGAGAAAAUGACUAAUUUCCCAAGCCUGCAAACAAAGAAAAUGAAAUAAACAACAAAUUUUACAGAAUCAAAGAGGAUACGUUCAGUGUGAGCCAACUGUCACAUCUUUAACCCUUCCAUCUGUGGGUGUGCAUUAGAAAAGGAGGAUACAAACCCAAGCCACAUCUAACUGUUUAGCUGAGCUAUGAGGAUGCCCUCCAAAUAUCAGUCACGAAGCAUUCGUGAAGUUCUUGCUCCCUCGCACCUGGUACCACCUGGCUUUUGUGGGGAUACAGACCAUGAAAGACCUGCCUUUGUCUUCAAGAGGUUUAUAAUAAAGAUGGGGAGAGGAAGCUCUCUUAGGUCACUCAUCCGAAGAAUAACAACAACAAAUGUGUUCCAAGAUACUAUUAAGAACUGAGAUGCAGUUAAAUGACCAUUGCAAGACCCAACAUCUGGGAAGGAGCAAAGCUAGUAUUUAGAGCUCAGUUCUGCCUCAUGAUAAACUUUGACUCUUCCCAUCAUGUUCUCACUCUAGUAGUUGUCAUCAUUCUCUUUGGCAACACUCUACCAUUGCUUCUUAUGUCCUAACACCUCUAUUGCAUGGAGACCAAAUGGAUCUACUUGGCAUCUCUGGAACACAUUGGACUAAAGCAUGUUUUCAUGUCUUGGCUUGUCCACUCAUCACCAUGAAAAACUUAGAAGAAAAACUGAAGGCUGCAAAGGUGAACUAGUUUGUCCCAGUGCACCCAUCCAGUGGAGGAGCAUUUCUAGAAGACUAUAUUAUUGCUUUUGUCUCAUAAGCAGUUUCUGACCGUGCUCAUUUAGUGCACAAAUGUUCUUUCAUGCUGUAAUCAUAAAAAGCAGUUUCAAACAGCCCUGGUCCACUCAUUUGCCCCAUUUUAAUCCAUCUCUCCCUUGGAAAACAUGCUGGUAUGUCAUAAAGCCCAAGUAAGCUUUCUCAACUGGGUCUUAAGAUUUAUUCAAGCUUUAAAUCAUUUUGAAGGUUAUAUGGAGAAAUACAGGCACCCUCUCUCUCCUCCACACACACACAUAAAAUAAAUGUUUUAACCAUGAGCGAAAAAUCUAGUUUAACUCAUUUCAAUAAAUACGGUUCUGGCGCCAUAUGCUAGAUGUUAGGGAUAAUAAGGCUGAACAAACAACACGGUCCCUGUUCUUUUAGGCUGGUUCACCGGGUUUCACACCUCACCUUGGGAAUUUGCUUUCCUUUAAUUAGUUUAAGUUAAUAAGACCAAAAUAAAUAUUUACUA